GUUUCCGAGGAGCGUUGCGACAGGUCCCGUCACCCGGGUGCCCGCCAGGCUCGGAACGGCGGUGUCGGACUCCCGGACACCGCCUCACAACGGCGCUCACCGACC
This 105-nucleotide non-coding RNA is filed under the name Mitsuaria sp. 7. Its description in RNAcentral is "SAH (S-adenosyl-L-homocysteine) riboswitch aptamer". It matches the Rfam family "SAH (S-adenosyl-L-homocysteine) riboswitch aptamer". Lineage: Bacteria; Pseudomonadati; Pseudomonadota; Betaproteobacteria; Burkholderiales; Sphaerotilaceae. The record is from Rfam by way of RNAcentral. RNAcentral also lists the same sequence under 1 other name.